RNAcentral lists this ribosomal RNA (668 nucleotides) under Salmonella enterica subsp. enterica serovar Muenchen. RNAcentral describes it as "partial 23S ribosomal RNA". It matches the Rfam family "Bacterial large subunit ribosomal RNA", at positions 1 to 702 of the family's 2925-position model. The record is from RNAcentral. Lineage: Bacteria; Pseudomonadati; Pseudomonadota; Gammaproteobacteria; Enterobacterales; Enterobacteriaceae.
GGGUUGUGAGGUUAAGCGACUAAGCGUACACGGUGGAUGCCCUGGCAGUCAGAGGCGAUGAAGGGCGUGCUAAUCUGCGAUAAGCGCCGGUAAGGUGAUAUGAACCGUUAUAACCGGCGAUACCCGAAUGGGGAAACCCAGUGUGAUUCGUCACACUAUCAUUAACUGAAUCCAUAGGUUAAUGAGGCGAACCGGGGGAACUGAAACAUCUAAGUACCCCGAGGAAAAGAAAUCAACCGAGAUUCCCCCAGUAGCGGCGAGCGAACGGGGAGGAGCCCAGAGCCUGAAUCAGCAUGUGUGUUAGUGGAAGCGUCUGGAAAGGCGCGCGAUACAGGGUGACAGCCCCGUACACAAAAGCGUAUGUGCUGUGAGCUCGAUGAGUAGGGCGGGACACGUGGUAUCCUGUCUGAAUAUGGGGGGACCAUCCUCCAAGGCUAAAUACUCCUGACUGACCGAUAGUGAACCAGUACCGUGAGGGAAAGGCGAAAAGAACCCCGGCGAGGGGAGUGAAAAAGAACCUGAAACCGUGUACGUACAAGCAGUGGGAGCACCCUUUGGGGUGUGACUGCGUACCUUUUGUAUAAUGGGUCAGCGACUUAUAUUCUGUAGCAAGGUUAACCGAAUAGGGGAGCCGGAGGGAAACCGAGUCUUAAUUGGGCGUUAAGUUG